This is a long non-coding RNA of Equus asinus (donkey), 1952 nucleotides long. Lineage: Eukaryota; Metazoa; Chordata; Mammalia; Perissodactyla; Equidae. The record is from Ensembl.
CUCUGAUUCUCAGACGCCUGAGGACUCGCUGUGGUCGUGUCCGGAGGCCCCUAGCUGAGACGGCGCCAGGGUUCCUGCUGGACUUCAUCUCCUGCCCUGUCAGUCAUUAAAGGUUUCACCUCUGCUGCUACCGUCACCAUCAGCUUCGGGCAGAUCCAGUUUAUCCUGACGGCAUCUGUCGCUUCUGGAGCCCACUCCAACCACAAGGAGGACAGUCACUCCAAUGCCUGUGAAAAGGAAUCUUCACGAGUGUUUAGGAAUCCGGUGAAUCACUCCAGCGUGCUGAUUCAUCCUCCCAGACACCCAGCACUCUGUCCUAUGUGCCCAUCCAGUGAGGAGUCAGACAUCUGCAGGACGUACUAUGUGAGCCUGGUCCUGAAGGAGGAGGGCAAGAAGAAGGACAAGAGGACCAGAAGGGACCACUAUGAUCCAAGUAUCCUCCUUGAAAAGGAGACCUGCUACGGGUUUUGCACAGGCUGCUGGAGAGAGAGGGGAGGCAGGAGGCUGGGGAAGAAGUGAUGGCCGCACAUAGAGCGAAAGGGUGAAGAUAAAUAUUCUGACUUCAUCUUGAUGGAGAGAAUCUCUGAGAGACUCUCAGCACAGGGGGACGUCUGGGCACCACAGGGGCCCUGUGGGGCUGGCUGUGGUGAGAGGAGCAGGAGGAUGGAGGCUGUGUGAUCGCUCCUGUCCUGUGCCUCCUGAGACCUGAAGCCGCUGCGGCUGUGGGCCUCGUGACUCCACCCAGGUUCUGAAGAUGGAUGGGCAUCUCACUCCACCGGGCCUGUUCUUGGGAUUCAGGGGACUCGUUAACACAGCUGAUAUGCACCAAAUUCCUCCUCCCUGUGAAAAGUUCAUCCUGGUCUAAGGGAAGUGGCCUUCCAGUCACUUGUCCUUUGGCUCCAGGACCCUGGAGGGUCCUGGCACAAAGAUAACCAAUGGAUCAAAAUGGAGAGCUCUGAGCCAGCCCCACACAUACAUGAGGGCAUAUGCUUUGUAACAAAGGUGGCCUCACAGAGCAGUGGGGAAAGACAGCUCUUUUGAUAAAUUAUGAUGGGUCAAUUGGACAUCACAUGGGAAAAACAAACUUGUCUUCGGAGCUCCCACUUUGGACCCUGCAUGAUGCCAUGAUACUCUGUUCUUACAUGCUUGUAUGAUGAGGACUAUAAUGGUUGUAACAUCGCUGUUAUAUGUUUACAGAUUUGCCACUCUCAAUGUGCUUUACAAUCUGCCAUUUCCCCAACAACCCUAAGAAGCAGGCAAAGAAGACCUUAUUGGUCCUUUCAUGGAUGAUGAAGGAGAAACUUGAAAGUGUGAGUGACUGACCCAAGGACAUUUACCUACUGCUCGAGCCUCAUCUGCUUGAUUCCAAGCCCGGGACUCUUUCCAGUUCAAGAGGUCCUAAUUCCCAUUCCCGGGGGGAAUCAGGGGAGCAGGGAGAAGUGGGCUGUGAUGGAGGUGGACUGGGAGUGGCUAGAGGUCAAUAGCACCGUCCUCGCACCAACUUAUGAUGGGCUACUAGGCCAAGUGCCCCUGGACCUCUUCCUGAGGAGGGUGCUCCAUAAGACGGAGCAAGAGGGUGAGGAGUUUUGGUGGGAAGAGGAGGGCCAGGGAAAGGGGCAGAGAGUCUGCCACUUGGAAUAGCAACUGGUUGGGGGCAGAAGAGCUGAGGCCUGAUCCAAGCUCGGCCAUGAACUUGCUGUGUGCCCUUGGACAAAUGACUUUAUCUCUCUGGGACUCAGUUUCCUCAUCUUUGAAGAGAUUAAUUCCAAUAUCUAUCACCUAAUGUGGUUGUAAGAAUUAAUGGGAAUUGUACUUGUCAAUUAGUGAGGGCUCAACAAUUGUUGACAGUCAAUAUUAUUCAGAUCACGUCUCCUCACUAAUAAAAAGCAACAGCUGCCAUUAAUUGAGUAUUUACUUCUCUUUAUCUCAUCUAAUCCUCACGACGACUCCAG